This 77-nucleotide transfer RNA is filed under the name Vibrio sp. RNAcentral's name for it is "tRNA-Ile". It matches the Rfam family "tRNA". Rfam says of the family: Transfer RNA (tRNA) molecules are approximately 80 nucleotides in length. RNAcentral also lists the same sequence under 37 other names. Lineage: Bacteria; Pseudomonadati; Pseudomonadota; Gammaproteobacteria; Vibrionales; Vibrionaceae. The record is from RNAcentral.
GGGCCUUUAGCUCAGUUGGUUAGAGCAUCCGACUCAUAAUCGGCAGGUCCUGGGUUCAAGUCCCGGAAGGCCCACCA